Molecule: long non-coding RNA, 1314 nt
Filed under: Heterocephalus glaber (naked mole-rat)
Lineage: Eukaryota; Metazoa; Chordata; Mammalia; Rodentia; Bathyergidae
Description: lncRNA (ENSHGLG00000043234.1)
Source: RNAcentral
CUUUUCUUCUUCUUCUUUUUUUUGAGACAGGGUCUCGGUAUGUAGUCCAGGCUGGCCUUGAACUCACAGCCAUCUUCCUGCCCCAGCUUCCUGAGUGCUGGUAGUGUCCCGAAGCCUGGCUUCAUUUUUCAUUCAACGAAGACUUCAUUUGUAAAAUGAACCAACAAUCCCUUCUUCCCACAACUGAGCUGUUGUUCUAAGGGGAGCUGAAUGAAAACUCUUUCAGGGUCUCACAACCCUGUGUCCUAGGCAGAGCACCUCCUCCUGGCUUGGUUAUGAGCGUUUGUUUGUAAGAUGGAGAACUGUUUGGAGCAUUGUUAAGAUUCAAAGGUAAUAAAGACACAAAAUAGCCUCAGUAGAAAGUAGCGGUCAUUGUUCUACUCUGGGGUGGGGUUCCCGAUUCUGCAAGGGGCUCUUAACCUAGAAAGUUUGCGAACAGACGGCAUAAACUGCUGGGUGCCGCCGGGAAACUGUCCUCACAUAAAACGGGGCUGGCCGGGAAGGCGCGGCGCCAUGGAAAUUAGAAGACCCCGGUUCCAUGGCUAACUGGCUUCCCCUAAGUGGGGGAUCUGUUAAAAAAGCGGGGUGGGAAGACGGUGGUCCGAGUCUCAGGCAAGGCUCACCCCAAGCGAGCCUCAGACCCAGGGUUAAAAGGGCUCAGGAGCGCGGGCCGCACGCAGGGCGAACUACGCCUCCCAGUGUGCUCCGCGCGCGCGCCAGCGUCUUACACCGACACGUGACCCCUCACUGUCUCUCGCGAGAGGACGGGCCGCGACGGCGGUAGUGUUAGCCAGCCCUGGUGGUUGUGGUGGUGGUGGUGGUGGUGGUGGUGGCGGCCGAGGCGCCGGCGGCCAUUUUGGGGAGGCCUCGGCAGCGGUGGCGGCGGCGGCAGCAGCUUGCUGAGAAUAGCGUCUGCCUUCUUCCCAACUCACUGCCCGCGACUCUGUGCCGAGGAGGCAGUGCAGGAAAGGCGGUGGCAGUAGCCGCGGUCCCCAGGGGAAUUUAAAGGCCGUGAAGGCUGCGGCCAAGAGGGGGCCCUCCCCCCUCCUCGGCGGGAGGGGUGGUGGUGCGCACGCCCCCGAGGACGCAGGUGUGAUUCCCCUCAUUACGGCGGCACCGUGGAAGUGCAGACUUUCACAGGGGGUGUGGUCUCAGCUCACACAGGGUUUGAUGCUGUGGAUGGAGGAAGAUAGGGUCACCUUCGUUUGACCAGGAAGAGUAACAGGUUCUCUAUGGCCGGACAUGGUGAUAUAUAUCUGUAAUCCCAGCACUCGGGAGGCUGAGGUGGGAAGAUUACUGCAAGUUCGAGUCCAG